This 360-nucleotide ribosomal RNA is filed under the name uncultured Cellulomonas sp. Its description in RNAcentral is "bacterial SSU rRNA". It matches the Rfam family "Bacterial small subunit ribosomal RNA", at positions 1023 to 1382 of the family's 1533-position model. Lineage: Bacteria; Bacillati; Actinomycetota; Actinomycetes; Micrococcales; Cellulomonadaceae. The record is from RNAcentral.
GUGGUCGGUGUACAGGUGGUGCAUGGUUGUCGUCAGCUCGUGUCGUGAGAUGUUGGGUUAAGUCCCGCAACGAGCGCGAACCCUCGUCCUAUGUUGCCAGCGGGUCAUGCCGGGGACUCAUGGGAGACUGCCGGGGUCAACUCGGAGGAAGGUGGGAUGACGUCAAAUCAUCAUGCCCCUUAUGUCUUGGGCUUCACGCAUGCUACAAUGGCCGGUACAAAGGGCUGCGAUACCGCGAGGUGGAGCGAAUCCCAGAAAGCCGGUCUCAGUUCGGAUUGGGUCUGCAACUCGACCCCAUGAAGUCGGAGUCGCUAGUAAUCGCAGAUCAGCAACGCUGCGGUGAAUACGUUCCCGGGCCUU